UAGGGAAUCUUCGGCAAUGGACGAAAGUCUGACCGAGCAACGCCGCGUGAGUGAAGAAGGUUUUCGGAUCGUAAAACUCUGUUGUUAGAGAAGAACAAGGACGUUAGUAACUGAACGUCCCCUGACGGUAUCUAACCAGAAAGCCACGGCUAAUUACGUGCCAGCAGCCGCGGUAAUACGUAGGUGGCAAGCGUUGUCCGGAUUUAUUGGGCGUAAAGCGAGCGCAGGCGGUUUCUUAAGUCUGAUGUGAAAGCCCCCGGCUCAACCGGGGAGGGUCAUUGGAAACUGGGAGACUUGAGUGCAGAAGAGGAGAGUGGAAUUCCAUGUGUAGCGGUGAAAUGCGUAGAUAUAUGGAGGAACACCAGUGGCGAAGGCGGCUCUCUGGUCUGUAACUGACGCUGAGGCUAGAAAGCGUGGGGAGCAAACAGG
This 429-nucleotide ribosomal RNA is filed under the name Gemmatimonadota bacterium. RNAcentral describes it as "Gemmatimonadetes bacterium partial 16S ribosomal RNA". It matches the Rfam family "Bacterial small subunit ribosomal RNA", at positions 355 to 776 of the family's 1533-position model. The record is from RNAcentral. Lineage: Bacteria; Pseudomonadati; Gemmatimonadota.